RNAcentral lists this ribosomal RNA (847 nucleotides) under uncultured Bacillota bacterium. Its description in RNAcentral is "bacterial SSU rRNA". It matches the Rfam family "Bacterial small subunit ribosomal RNA", at positions 63 to 907 of the family's 1533-position model. The record is from RNAcentral. Lineage: Bacteria; Bacillati; Bacillota.
CGAACGAAGCUUGAUUACGGAAUUCUUCGGAAAGAAGUAUGAUAUGACUUAGUGGCGGACGGGUGAGUAACGCGUGAGUAUCCUGCCUUUCAGAGGGGGAUAACGUUUGGAAACGAACGCUAAUACCGCAUGAAAUAUAUUUAAGGCAUCUUAGAUAUAUCAAAGAUUUAUCGCUGAGAGAUGGACUCGCGUCUGAUUAGAUAGUUGGUGAGGUAACGGCUCACCAAGUCGACGAUCAGUAGCCGGACUGAGAGGUUGAACGGCCACAUUGGGACUGAGACACGGCCCAGACUCCUACGGGAGGCAGCAGUGGGGAAUAUUGCACAAUGGGCGCAAGCCUGAUGCAGCAACGCCGCGUGAGGGAAGACGGUCUUCGGAUUGUAAACCUUUGUCUUUGGUGAAGAAGAAAGUGACGGUAGCCAAGGAGGAAGCCACGGCUAACUACGUGCCAGCAGCCGCGGUAAUACGUAGGUGGCAAGCGUUGUCCGGAAUUACUGGGUGUAAAGGGAGCGCAGGCGGGACAGCAAGUUGGAUGUGAAAUACCGAGGCUUAACCACGGAGCUGCAUCCAAAACUGUUGUUCUUGAGUGAAGUAGAGGUAGGCGGAAUUCCGAGUGUAGCGGUGAAAUGCGUAGAUAUUCGGAGGAACACCAGUGGCGAAGGCGGCCUACUGGGCUUUAACUGACGCUGAGGCUCGAAAGUGUGGGAGCAAACAGGAUUAGAUACCCUGGUAGUCCACACUGUAAACGAUGAUUGCUAGGUGUGGGGGGUCUGACCCCCUCCGUGCCGGAGUUAACGCAAUAAGCAAUCCACCUGGGGAGUACGGCCGCAAGGUUGCAACUCAAAGG